Ruditapes philippinarum (Manila clam) is the source of this 409-nucleotide long non-coding RNA. RefSeq lists it as uncharacterized. The record is from RefSeq and is a predicted model, not a curated record. The transcript has 3 exons. Lineage: Eukaryota; Metazoa; Mollusca; Bivalvia; Venerida; Veneridae.
GUUAUAUACAGUAACGAAAUCUCGUUAUUUCGCGUUCGGCAUUAAGCGGAUUGGCAAGCAUAUGAGGUAAACGAUGAAAACAAAAAUUACAGCAUUGAUUCUUGCCUUUGCCAUUUUACUGAGUGCUACACACCAAAGCGAUGCUCAGUUCUACAGAGGAUUUGGAAGGCGUGGUUUCCGAAGAGGCGGAUUUGGGAGGGGCAUAGGACUUGGUUUUCUAACCGGUGCAUUAAUAGGAGGCGGAGGCUUUGGAUACCCGUACGGUGGUCAUUAUGGAGGAUUUUUCCCUGGGCUACUUGGUGGAGCACUUUUGUUCGGCUAAUAAAUCUAAAAUGCCAAAUCAUUUGUGAAUAAAAGAUAAAUGAAAAAUGACUGAAAAACAUGGAUAUUGGACAGCAUUACUUUAAGA